GUAACAAGGUUUCCGUAGGUGAACCUGCGGAAGGAUCAUUAAUGAUUAACUGUCUGUCGAGCUUGCUCACAGACUUAUCAUAUCCAUAACACCUGUGCACUUGUCGGAUGGCUUAGUGAAGACCGCAAGGUUGGAUCUAUCCAUCUACUUUACAUAACAAUUUAGUAACAAAUGUAGUCUUAUUAUAACAUAAUAAAACUUUCAACAACGGAUCUCUUGGCUCUCGCAUCGAUGAAGAACGCAGCGAAAUGCGAUAAGUAAUGUGAAUUGCAGAAUUCAGUGAAUCAUCGAAUCUUUGAACGCACCUUGCGCUCCCUGGUAUUCCGGGGAGCAUGCCUGUUUGAGUGUCAUGAAAACCCUCAACCUUAGAUUGGUUAACACCUUUCUUUGGCUUGGAUUUGGACGUUUGCCGAUGAUAAGUCGGCUCGUCUUAAAAGUAAUAGCUGGAUCUGUCUCGCGACAUGGUUUGACUUGGCGUAAUAAGUAUUUCGCUAAGGACAUCUUCGGAUGGCCGCGUUGCAAGACUAAAGACCGCUUUCUAAUCCAUUGAUCUUCGGAUUAAUAUUCUUGACAUCUGGCCUCAAAUCAGGUAGGACUACCCGCUGAACUUAAGCAUAUCA
Molecule: unclassified non-coding RNA, 620 nt
Filed under: Naganishia diffluens
Lineage: Eukaryota; Fungi; Basidiomycota; Tremellomycetes; Filobasidiales; Filobasidiaceae
Description: sequence contains 18S rRNA gene, ITS1, 5.8S rRNA gene, ITS2, 28S rRNA gene
Rfam family: 5.8S ribosomal RNA (bases 197-350)
Source: RNAcentral